GUGUCUCCAGUGGACACGACAUCAUCAACACUGGACAAAUGAGGAGUUGAAAAACAUGUCUGAUGUCAACGGUACAGCUGGUGGCAGAGUCAGGGAUUUGGACCCAUCCUGUCUGGUGUCAACGGUACAGCUGGUGGCAGAGUCAGGGAUUUGGACCCAUCCUGUCUGGUGUCAACGGUACAGCUGGUGGCAGAGUCAGGGAUUUGGACCCAUCCUGUCUGGUGUCAACGGUACAGCUGGUGGCAGAGUCAGGGAUUUGGACCCAUCCUGUCUGGUGUCAACGGUACAGCUGGUGGCAGAGUCAGGGAUUUGGACCCAUCCUGUCUGGUGUCAACGGUACAGUUGGUGGCAGAGUCAGGGAUUUGGACCCAUCCUGUCUGGUGUCAACGGUACAGCUGGUGGCAGAGUCAGGAUUUGGACCCAUCCUGCCUGGUGUCAACGGUACAGCUGGUGGCAGAGUCAGGGAUUUGGACCCAUCCUGUCUGGUGUCAACGGUACAGCUGGUGGCAGAGUCAGGGAUUUGGACCCAUCCUGUCUGGUGUCAACGGUACAGUUGGUGGCAGAGUCAGGGAUUUGGACCCAUCCUGUCUGGUGUCAACGGUACAGCUGGUGGCAGAGUCAGGAUUUGGACCCAUCCUGCCUGGUGUCAACGGUACAGCUGGUGGCAGAGUCAGGGAUUUGGACCCAUCCUGUCUGGUGUCAACGGUACAGCUGGUGGCAGAGUCAGGGAUUUGGACCCAUCCUGUCUGGUGUCAACGGUACAGCUGGUGGCAGAGUCAGGGAUUUGGACCCAUCCUGUCUGGUGUCAACGGUACAGCUGGUGGCAGAGUCAGGGAUUUGGACCCAUCCUGUCUGGUGUCAACGGUACAGCUGGUGGCAGAGUCAGGGAUUUGGACCCAUCCUGUCUGGUGUCAACGGUACAGCUGAUGGCAGAGUCAGGGAUUUGGACCCAUCCUGUCUGGUGUCAACGGUACAGCUGGUGGCAGAGUCAGGGAUUUGGACCCAUCCUGUCUGGUGUCAACGGUACAGCUGGUGGCAGAGUCAGGGAUUUGGACCCAUCCUGUCUGGUGUCAACGGUACAGCUGGUGGCAGAGUCAGGGAUUUGGACCCAUCCUGUCUGGUGUCAACGGUACAGCUGGUGGCAGAGUCAGGGAUUUGGACCCAUCCUGUCUGGUGUCAACGGUACGGCUGGUGGCAGAGUCAGGGAUUUGGACCCAUCCUGUCUGGUGUCAACGGUACGGCUGGUGGCAGAGUCAGGGAUUUGGACCCAUCCUGUCUGGUGUCAACGGUACAGCUGGUGGCAGAGUCAAGGAUUUGGACCCAUCCUGUCUGGUGUCAACGGUACAGCUGGUGGCAGAGUCAAGGAUUUGGACCCAUCCUGUCUGGUGUCAACGGUACAGCUGGUGGCAGAGUCAGGGAUUUGGACCCAUCCUGUCUGGUGUCAACGGUACAGCUGGUGGCAGAGUCAGGGAUUUGGACCCAUCCUGUCUGGUGUCAACGGUACAGCUGGUGGCAGAGUCAGGGAUUUGGACCCAUCCUGUCUGGUGUCAACGGUACAGCUGAUGGCAGAGUCAGGGAUUUGGACCCAUCCUGUCUGGUGUCAACGGUACAGCUGGUGGCAGAGUCAGGGAUUUGGACCCAUCCUGUCUGGUGUCAACGGUACAGCUGGUGGCAGAGUCAGGGAUUUGGACCCAUCCUGUCUGGUGUCAACGGUACAGCUGGUGGCAGAGUCAGGGAUUUGGACCCAUCCUGUCUGGUGUCAACGGUACAGCUGGUGGCAGAGUCAGGGAUUUGGACCCAUCCUGUCUGGUGUCAACGGUACAGCUGGUGGCAGAGUCAGGGAUUUGGACCCAUCCUGUCUGGUGUCAACGGUACAGCUGGUGGCAGAGUCAGGGAUUUGGACCCAUCCUGUCUGGUGUCAACGGUACAGCUGGUGGCAGAGUCAGGGAUUUGGACCCAUCCUGUCUGGUGUCAACGGUACAGCUGGUGGCAGAGUCAGGGAUUUGGACCCAUCCUGUCUGGUGUCAACGGUACAGCUGGUGGCAGAGUCAGGGAUUUGGACCCAUCCUGUCUGGUGUCAACGGUACAGCUGGUGGCUGUGGUGGAAUGGUGUGGGGAGUGUUUUCCUGGCACACGUUAAUGUCCCUUGAUACCAGUUGAGCAACGUGUUCAUGCCCCAAAGAAUUCAGGCCGCAUCAUCUCUGAAACAUCGCUGUCCGAGCUCAAUAGAACGUUUUUGGGAUGAGAUCAACAUCCCUGUAGAACGUUUCUGACACCUUGUAGAAUCCACACCCUGAAGAAUUCAGGCUGUUCUGGAUAAGUGUUUCCUUAAUAAACUGACCAGGGUGUGUAUCUGUGACUUGUAGGAUCCACACCCCAAAUAAUUCAGGCUGUUCUGGAUAAGUGUUUCCUAAUGAACCGACCAGGGUGUGUAUCUGUGACGAGAAUGAGCUUGUGUUGUGUGUGUGUGUGUGUGUGUGUAUAUGUGUGUGUGUGUGUGUGUGUGUGACCUCCGCACCACCAGGUGGAGCUGCUGUGCUCCGAUGGCGAAGCGGCGCGGCGGGGUGGGCGUGGCUACCUGGAACGGUUUCCUGUACGCUAUUGGAGGACAUGACGCUCCCGCCUCCAGCCUGGCAUCACGACUCAGCGAUUGUGUGGAGAGGUACGACCCCCAGACGGAUGCGUGGACGGCGGUAGCCCCCAUGAGUAUCAGUCGUGACGCUGUUGGUGUGUGUCUCCUUGGAGACCGUCUCUAUGCGGUCGGUGGUUACGAUGGAACGGUGUACCUGAACACUGUCGAGGCCUACGAUCCCCAGACCAACGAGUGGACACAGGUGGCUCCACUGUGUCUGGGCCGGGCUGGGGCCUGUGUGGUGGCCGUCAAACUGUGAACACUCUUUGGACCCUCCCCAUUCUUCCUUGUCUCCAGGGUUACCACCAAUGUGAUGACGUUUACCUCUUAACAUUCCACUAAAACCAGGAAGACAUUAUAGACAUUGAGUUGGAGAGGAGAUUACUGACUACAGAUUGAAGAGCUCUCUCUGUCUCUCUCUGUCUCUCUGUCUGUCUCUCUCUCUGUCUCUCUCUCUGUCUCUCUGUCUGUCUCUCUCUCUGUCUCUCUCUCUGUCUCUCUCU
Salvelinus namaycush (lake trout) is the source of this 3135-nucleotide RNA transcript. It is a transcript of the gene named kelch-like protein 5, with no coding region annotated. The transcript has 3 exons. The record is from RefSeq and is a predicted model, not a curated record. Lineage: Eukaryota; Metazoa; Chordata; Actinopteri; Salmoniformes; Salmonidae.